RNAcentral lists this long non-coding RNA (879 nucleotides) under Cyanistes caeruleus (blue tit). RNAcentral describes it as "lncRNA (ENSCCEG00000011191.1)". Lineage: Eukaryota; Metazoa; Chordata; Aves; Passeriformes; Paridae. The record is from RNAcentral.
AUGACUAAUCCUCCGAAUGUAAAGCUAUCCCUUCAAUGCAGAUGGGCUUUGGUUCCUUACUUCUUUAUUGUCCUUUGGACUGAGAAGCCCUUCACAGCUGCUGCACUUUGCACAGAAGGGUUACAUCCCAGAAGUUUUUGUAUCUACAGCCCAAUGUUCGAUUUGGCUUCCUCUACCCAUGCCUGCUCCAGUGGGCCCUGGUGGCAAGGCAAUGUAACUUGUGAGCAAUUCAGUGACAGCAAGCCAAUCCUUGGCUGGGCACACGCCUCUGUGGAUAAAUGUGCUGUGCUGCUUGACCUCUGGACCUGUGAAACUGCUCUCAUGGAAAAACAGUUAUUUGCUGAGGUACUGAUAGAAGACCCUGUGUUGGUGCAAGAAAUUGAUUUCUCACUAUUAGAGAUGGAAGCAGAUGGAGACAAAAAGGCAGGCAGAGAAAAACAGUUUUUUAUCCUGGAUUCCUUCUCCACUCUCCUGGACCUUGUUACACUCCACCAUUGGCUGAAGAAGGUGGCAACAAAGAAGGCAUGGUUAGCUAGGUUAGUACUGUUUUAGCUAUGGGGAUUUCAGAGAGGUGUGGUUUCUAGGGGGGAAAAAAAACUUCUUUUAAAAAGACCACUUACUACUGUUGGGAAAAAAAUCAGUAUGAAGGAGAGUGCCUGCAUUGGUGUUGUGGGAGCUGUUUGCCUGCCUGUGAGGAUGGCGAAAUGGGUUUAGGCUAUGCUACUCCUCAAAGCUUGACAGGAGAAACUCUUUCCCAGUGAAAAUACCAAAAUUCUGUCAAAAGGAGCAGGCAGAAUUCAUUAAUCAAAAAACCCACAAAGAUGCCUCCUUCUGCUGAGUUUUGCACAAUUAAAUAUUUUAACAGACUUUUUAUGAAAG